GCAUAAUCUCGCAAGAGCAAAGUGGGGGACCUUCGGGCCUCACACCAUCGGAUGAACCCAGAUGGGAUUAGCUAGUAGGUGGGGUAACGGCUCACCUAGGCGACGAUCCCUAGCUGGUCUGAGAGGAUGACCAGCCACACUGGAACUGAGACACGGUCCAGACUCCUACGGGAGGCAGCAGUGGGGAAUAUUGCACAAUGGGCGCAAGCCUGAUGCACCCAUGCCGCGUGUAUGAAGAAGGCCUUCGGGUUGUAAAGUACUUUCAGCGGGGAGGAAGGCGAUGCGGUUAAUAACCGCGUCGAUUGACGUUACCCGCAGAAGAAGCACCGGCUAACUCCGUGCCAGAGC
This 348-nucleotide ribosomal RNA is filed under the name Winslowiella toletana. RNAcentral describes it as "bacterial SSU rRNA". It matches the Rfam family "Bacterial small subunit ribosomal RNA", at positions 171 to 515 of the family's 1533-position model. The record is from RNAcentral. Lineage: Bacteria; Pseudomonadati; Pseudomonadota; Gammaproteobacteria; Enterobacterales; Erwiniaceae.